CCUUGAGGCUGACAGUGUUGCACCCGGCAGGCUCAGAGAUACUGGUCCGGUUCCAGCCUGUCGCUAUCCAGCAAUGGACCAGCACACACGGCGUAGAUGGAACAAACAAGUCAAUGCUGUGGUCAUUGAGUGUUACGACCUGAGCAAACCUGUAGAUGAAAAUGGUACUCAUAUUAGGGGAUACCGACAACGUAUGUAUGUGACCACCGAAAAUCCA
Octopus sinensis (East Asian common octopus) is the source of this 217-nucleotide long non-coding RNA. RefSeq lists it as uncharacterized. The transcript is spliced from 3 exons. The record is from RefSeq and is a predicted model, not a curated record. Lineage: Eukaryota; Metazoa; Mollusca; Cephalopoda; Octopoda; Octopodidae.